This is a small nuclear RNA of Fukomys damarensis (Damara mole-rat), 106 nucleotides long. Its record names the gene U4. It matches the Rfam family "U4 spliceosomal RNA". From Rfam's summary of the family: U4 small nuclear RNA (U4 snRNA) is a component of the major U2-dependent spliceosome. The structure of U4 snRNA from yeast and human has been reported. The record is from Ensembl. Lineage: Eukaryota; Metazoa; Chordata; Mammalia; Rodentia; Bathyergidae.
AGCUUUGCGCAGUGGCAGUAUCCUAGCCAAUGAGGUUUAUCCGAGGCACGAUUAUUGCUAAUUGAAAACUUUCUUAUACUUUAAGGUUUGAUACAUUUUUAAAAAU